CGGAGUAUGGCGAAACUGGUAUACGCGUAAGUUUUAGACACUUAUAUAGCAAUAUGUGCGGGUCCGAGUCCCGCUACUCCGA
This 82-nucleotide transfer RNA is filed under the name Bacteriophage sp. RNAcentral's name for it is "tRNA-Leu". It matches the Rfam family "tRNA". Rfam says of the family: Transfer RNA (tRNA) molecules are approximately 80 nucleotides in length. The record is from RNAcentral.